GGAGGAAGGGAGGUAACCGGAGUAAUAAAGGGUGGGAUGUGGCCGCUCGAGGCCGUGUGUAGGAUUAAGGUUAAAAUACCUGACUAGGGCAUUGCUAGCCCCAGAAAAAAAGAAAAAAAAUGUUAACCACCAGAUGUAGCUUUCACGUCUACUGUUUGCUUGAACGAUUGUUUUUGUUUUCUAGUAUAUAGAAAAGGCUCUUGCAAGUUUUUUUCCUGACAUUGUAUCCGUGUCCAAAGAGGAGAAAGAACGAAGCACGAGUUAACAAUUAUUUGAAGUAUUCGCUAGAAAAUAGAUGCUCGGAUUCUCCUCUAAUUUUGGGUUUUCGUCUGUGUGUUGUCAAGAGCCAAUGAGAAGGCUUGGCUCAGGGACCUCACUUGCCUAGAACUCAUAAGGCAGAAAAAGAAACUUUACUCCCAGAAGUUGUAUUCUGACCUCCUCACCGACCCACAAGCAAUCGCAAAAUAGUAAUUUUAAAGUUUUUAAGUAUCUCACUCGGCUAGUGGUGAUGGUUCAUGCCUGUAAUCUCAAUAGUCAAGG
RNAcentral lists this long non-coding RNA (540 nucleotides) under Mus musculus (house mouse). RNAcentral's name for it is "long non-coding RNA chr12:59012232-59012772". Lineage: Eukaryota; Metazoa; Chordata; Mammalia; Rodentia; Muridae. The record is from RNAcentral.